GGGAAGGCGGCAGCUUAACAUGCAGUCGACGGCAGCACGGGUGCUUGCACCUGGUGGCGAGUGGCGAACGGGUGAGUAAUACAUCGGAACAUGUCCUGUAGUGGGGGAUAGCCCGGCGAAAGCCGGAUUAAUACCGCAUACGAUCUACGGAUGAAAGCGGGGGACCUUCGGGCCUCGCGCUAUAGGGUUGGCCGAUGGCUGAUUAGCUAGUUGGUGGGGUAAAGGCCUACCAAGGCGACGAUCAGUAGCUGGUCUGAGAGGACGACCAGCCACACUGGGACUGAGACACGGCCCAGACUCCUACGGGAGGCAGCAGUGGGGAAUUUUGGACAAUGGGCGAAAGCCUGAUCCAGCAAUGCCGCGUGUGUGAAGAAGGCCUUCGGGUUGUAAAGCACUUUUGUCCGGAAAGAAAUCCUUGGCUCUAAUACAGUCGGGGGAUGACGGUACCGGAAGAAUAAGCACCGGCUAACUACG
Molecule: ribosomal RNA, 474 nt
Filed under: Burkholderia sp.
Lineage: Bacteria; Pseudomonadati; Pseudomonadota; Betaproteobacteria; Burkholderiales; Burkholderiaceae
Description: bacterial SSU rRNA
Rfam family: Bacterial small subunit ribosomal RNA
Source: RNAcentral